GACACAAAAUUGUUGAACGACGCAUCGAAAAAUGUCUGUAAUCCUAGCGACCAGGUCCCUCGGCCCCCAACAGUGACGCCGAUCCCAACUUCAACCCUCGCAUGUCCGUUCGACUUGCUCCCUUCCUGCCUCCUCAUAAAAGCCCCCUUCACCGCUCCCCGCCUCGAUCCGCGACUCCUCGUUUGCCAUCGGAAACCCCAAAAACUCACCCUUGGACAUCGACGACCUCGGCGGGCUCCAAAAGAAAUUGUUGAAUGCGUGCAACCCUAAACCCUACCCCCAAAAGCUGUGGCUCCUCUAGUACACCCCACCCAACGCGUCAUCUCGAGGCGCCUCUGCAUCGUGCAUCGCCGCGGGUAAGAACAAGGUCCACCGCCGAGCAGCAUGUU
This 389-nucleotide long non-coding RNA is filed under the name Physcomitrium patens. RNAcentral describes it as "long non-coding RNA (PPAT_LNC005074)". Lineage: Eukaryota; Viridiplantae; Streptophyta; Bryopsida; Funariales; Funariaceae. The record is from RNAcentral.